UACGGAGGGGGCUAGCGUUGUUCGGAAUUACUGGGCGUAAAGCGCACGUAGGCGGCUUUGUAAGUUAGAGGUGAAAGCCCCGGGGGCUCAACUCCGGAAUUGCCUUUAAGACUGCAUCGCUAGAAUUGUGGGGGAGGUAAGUGGAAUUCCGAGUGUAGAGGUGAAAUUCGUAGAUAUUCGGAAGAACACCAGUGGCGAAGGCGACUUCUGGACACAU
Molecule: ribosomal RNA, 217 nt
Filed under: uncultured bacterium
Lineage: Bacteria
Description: partial 16S ribosomal RNA
Rfam family: Bacterial small subunit ribosomal RNA
Source: RNAcentral